UACAGAGGUCUCAAGCGUUGUUCGAAUUCAUUGGGUUUAAAGGGUGCGUAGGCGGCCUUGUAAGUCAGGGGUGAAAGACGGUAGCUUAACUAUCGCAGUGCCUUUGAUACUGCAGGGCUUGAAUGUACUUGAGGUAGGCGGAAUGUGACAAGUAGCAGUGAAAUGCAUAGAUAUGUCACAGAACACCAAUUGCGAAGGCAGCUUACUAAAGUAUGAUUGACGCUGAGGCACGAAAGCGUGGGGAGCAAACAGG
This 253-nucleotide ribosomal RNA is filed under the name uncultured bacterium. RNAcentral describes it as "partial 16S ribosomal RNA". It matches the Rfam family "Bacterial small subunit ribosomal RNA", at positions 524 to 776 of the family's 1533-position model. The record is from RNAcentral.